CCAGAAACUUCAUCUUCAGCUAUUAGUGGAGGUCAUGCUAAAGUUGAAAAGGAACUUGAACAAAAUGUAUCUCCUACAACAGCUUCCUUUGUUAAGAAUUCAACCAAACUCUUAAAAGAGAUGAAUUCAGAAAAAGUUUGGUCAGAUGAGAUGCCAUCUUUUCUUUCAAGCACCUCAGAAAUUUCCACUAUAAAUGAUGAAAAUAAUGGAGGUUCAAAUGAAUCAACUUCACCUAAGGUUGACAAUGUUGAAAGUGAUUCUAUGACUGAAGACACAAAACCACCUCCUUUGGCUGGGGCCAAUGUCAUGAAUGUUAUUUUGGUAGCUGCAGAAUGUGCUCCAUGGUCCAAAACAGGUGGCCUUGGAGACGUUGCUGGGUCUUUACCAAAGGCUUUGGCUCGGCGUGGACAUCGGGUUAUGGUUGUGGCACCUCGGUAUGGUAACUAUGCUGAACCUCUGGAUACUGGAGUUCGAAAGAGGUAUAAGGUGGAUGGUCAGGAUUUUGAAGUAUCAUACUUCCAAGCGUUCAUUGAUGGGGUUGAUUUUGUAUUCAUUGAGAGUCCUAUCUUUCGCCACAUAGAGAAUAAUAUAUAUGGAGGAAACAGAUUGGAUAUAUUGAAGAGGAUGGUGUUAUUUUGCAAAGCUGCUGUUGAGGUUCCAUGGCAUGUCCCAUGUGGUGGAGUCUGCUAUGGGGAUGGAAAUUUGGCUUUCAUUGCAAAUGAUUGGCAUACAGCACUGGUGCCAGUGUAUCUGAAGGCAUAUUAUCGAGACAAUGGUGUAAUGCGAUAUGCAAGAUCUGUUUUCGUAAUUCAUAACAUUGCUUACCAGGGUCGGGGUCCUGUCGACGAUUUCUCUUAUAUGGAUCUACCAGAACACUACAUUGAUCUCUUCAAACUGUAUGACCCUGUUGGUGGUGACCACUUCAAUAUCUUUGCAGCUGGUCUUAAGACAGCAGAUCGUGUGGUUACUGUUAGUCAUGGAUAUGCCUGGGAGCUUAAAACAUCCGAAGGUGGUUGGGGUCUGCACAACAUCAUAAGUGAGAAUGACUGGAAAUUGAGGGGCAUUGUUAAUGGGAUUGAUGCAAAAGAAUGGAACCCACUGUUUGAUAUUCACCUGACAUCAGAUGGUUAUACUAAUUACUCCCUGGAAACACUUGAUACUGGCAAGCCUCAGUGCAAAGCAGCCUUACAGAAGGAGCUUGGUUUGCCCAUACGUCCAGAUGUCCCUGUUAUUGGGUUCAUUGGAAGGUUGGAUCACCAGAAGGGUGUUGAUCUCAUAGCUGAGGCGG
Molecule: unclassified non-coding RNA, 1288 nt
Filed under: Hevea brasiliensis (rubber tree)
Lineage: Eukaryota; Viridiplantae; Streptophyta; Magnoliopsida; Malpighiales; Euphorbiaceae
Source: RNAcentral